ACCUACGGGAGGCAGCAGUGGGGAAUAUUGCACAAUGGGGGAAACCCUGAUGCAGCGACGCCGCGUGAGUGAUGAAGUAUUUCGGUAUGUAAAGCUCUAUCAGCAGGGAAGAUAAUGACGGUACCUGACUAAGAAGCUCCGGCUAAAUACGUGCCAGCAGCCGCGGUAAUACGUAUGGAGCAAGCGUUAUCCGGAUUUACUGGGUGUAAAGGGAGCGUAGGCGGCCAUGCAAGUCAGAAGUGAAAACCCGGGGCUCAACCCUGGGAGUGCUUUUGAAACUGUGCGGCUAGAGUGUCGGAGGGGGA
RNAcentral lists this ribosomal RNA (305 nucleotides) under uncultured bacterium. RNAcentral describes it as "bacterial SSU rRNA". It matches the Rfam family "Bacterial small subunit ribosomal RNA", at positions 337 to 659 of the family's 1533-position model. The record is from RNAcentral.